GACGAACGCUGGCGGCGCGCUUAACACAUGCAAGUCGAACGGAAAGGCCUGCUUUCCCUUGUGGAUUGCGGGUACUCGAGUGGCGAACGGGUGAGUAACACGUGAGUGAUCAGCCCCCAACUUGGGUAUAAGCCUGGGAAACUGGGUCUAAUUCCCGAUAGGACUGCAGGGUGGUGCCUGUGGUGGAAAACGAUUUUCUAGUGGUUGGGGAUGAGCUCGCGGCCUAUCAGCUUGUUGGUGGGGUAAUGGCCUACCAAGGCGGCGACGGGUAGCCGGCCUGAGAGGGUGGACGGCCACAUUGGGACUGGGAUACGGCCCAGACUCCUACGGGAGGCAGCAGUGGGGAAUAGUGCACAAUGGGCGGAAGCCUGAUGCAGCGACGCCGCGUGGGGGAUGACGGCCUUCGGGUUGUAAACUCCUUUCGACCGCGAGGAAGCCACCUGGUUGGAAGGGUGGUGACGGUAGUGGUAGAAGAAGCACCGGCUAACUACGUG
RNAcentral lists this ribosomal RNA (494 nucleotides) under uncultured bacterium. Its description in RNAcentral is "partial 16S ribosomal RNA". It matches the Rfam family "Bacterial small subunit ribosomal RNA", at positions 28 to 507 of the family's 1533-position model. The record is from RNAcentral.